This 253-nucleotide ribosomal RNA is filed under the name uncultured bacterium. Its description in RNAcentral is "partial 16S ribosomal RNA". It matches the Rfam family "Bacterial small subunit ribosomal RNA", at positions 524 to 776 of the family's 1533-position model. The record is from RNAcentral.
GACAGAGGGUGCAAACGUUGUUCGGAAUUACUGGGCAUAAAGCGCACGUAGGCGGCCCGCUAAGUCACGCGUGAAAUCCCCCGGCUCAACCGGGGAAUGGCGCGUGAUACUGGCGGGCUCGAGAUCGGGAGGGGUGAGCGGAACUCCAGGUGGAGCGGUGAAAUGCGUAGAUAUCUGGAGGAACACCGGUGGCGAAAGCGGCUCACUGGCCCGACCCUGACGCUGAGGUGCGAAAGCUAGGGUAGCAAACGGG